AUUGAACGCUGGCGGCAGGCCUAACACAUGCAAGUCGAGCGGAUGAAGGGAGCUUGCUCCUGGAUCCAGCGGCGGACGGGUGAGUAAUGCCUAGGAAUCUGCCUGGUAGUGGGGGAUAACGUCCGGAAACGGGCGCUAAUACUGCAUACGUCCUGAGGGAGAAAGUGGGGGAUCUUCGGACCUCACGCUAUCAGAUGAGCCUAGGUCGGAUUAGCUAGUUGGUGGGGUAAAGGCCUACCAAGGCGACGAUCCGUAACUGGUCUGAGAGGAUGAUCAGUCACACUGGAACUGAGACACGGUCCAGACUCCUACGGGAGGCAGCAGUGGGGAAUAUUGGACAAUGGGCGAAAGCCUGAUCCAGCCAUGCCGCGUGUGUGAAGAAGGUCUUCGGAUUGUAAAGCACUUUAAGUUGGGAGGAAGGGCAGUAAGUUAAUACCUUGCUGUUUUGACGUUACCAACAGAAUAAGCACCGGCUAACUUCGUG
This 484-nucleotide ribosomal RNA is filed under the name uncultured bacterium. Its description in RNAcentral is "partial 16S ribosomal RNA". It matches the Rfam family "Bacterial small subunit ribosomal RNA", at positions 30 to 507 of the family's 1533-position model. The record is from RNAcentral.